RNAcentral lists this ribosomal RNA (496 nucleotides) under uncultured bacterium. RNAcentral's name for it is "bacterial SSU rRNA". It matches the Rfam family "Bacterial small subunit ribosomal RNA", at positions 371 to 883 of the family's 1533-position model. The record is from RNAcentral.
AUGGACGAAAGUCUGAAGCAGCAACGCCGCGUGAGGGAUGAAGGCCUUCGGGUUGUAAACCUCUUUUAUCAGGGACGAUAAUGACGGUACCUGAUGAAUAAGCCACGGCUAACUACGUGCCAGCAGCCGCGGUAAUACGUAGGUGGCAAGCGUUGUCCGGAUUUACUGGGCGUAAAGAGCGCGCAGGCGGUCGUUUAAGUCGAAUGUGAAAGCCCCCGGCUCAACUGGGGAGGGUCAUUCGAUACUGAUCGACUUGAAGGCAGGAGAGAGAAGUGGAAUUCCCGGUGUAGUGGUGAAAUGCGUAGAUAUCGGGAGGAACACCAGUGGCGAAGGCGACUUCUUGGCCUGUUCUUGACGCUGAGGCGCGAAAGCUGGGGGAGCAAACGGGAUUAGAUACCCCGGUAGUCCCAGCCGUAAACGAUGGACACUAGGUGUUGGUGGUAUCAACCCCGCCAGUGCCGUAGCUAACGCAUUAAGUGUCCCGCCUGGGGAGUAC